AUCAGGAACACACACUGUCCUUGGUUGUUGAGUCUAUCUAAAUGAAUGGGCUCCUGUAAAGACACCAAGAUAAGAGACACAGCUUAAAGAUUUCCAGUAUUUUGAUUUUAAUUCAGUGCUGGUACCUGAAAGAAAGUAAUGCUGAAAAGCAAACAAGAAGUUGAUGGAAUGGAAUGUGUCUUGUGUGGAACAUAAACACCAGCACAGGGAAUUAGAACGGGUGGAUUUACAGACAGGAAACUCAAACCUAACAUCACAGCAUGAUCUGAC
Long non-coding RNA from Carcharodon carcharias (great white shark), 270 nucleotides. RefSeq lists it as uncharacterized. Lineage: Eukaryota; Metazoa; Chordata; Chondrichthyes; Lamniformes; Lamnidae. The record is from RefSeq and is a predicted model, not a curated record. The transcript is spliced from 3 exons.